UUACGCCGUGUAAACCACUGUCAGGACUUAGGAAGAACUGACCGAGUCCAAAGGAAGGGCCGGCUAAUCUCGUGCCAGCAGCCGCGGUAAUACGAGAGGCCCGAGCGUUAGGCGGAAUCACUGGGCUUAAAGGGUGCGUAGGCGGAUCAGUAAGCAUUUUGUGAAAUCCCUCGGCUCAACCGAGGAAUUGCAGAGUGAACUGCUGGUCUUGAGGUAGGCAGAGGUCAUCGGAACGUACGGUGGAGCGGU
This 249-nucleotide ribosomal RNA is filed under the name Strombidium inclinatum. Its description in RNAcentral is "partial Bacterial small subunit ribosomal RNA". It matches the Rfam family "Bacterial small subunit ribosomal RNA", at positions 416 to 682 of the family's 1533-position model. Lineage: Eukaryota; Ciliophora; Spirotrichea; Strombidiidae. The record is from RNAcentral.